GAGGCACAUUAUCUUUGGAGAUCCAAGGGGGAGUGUUAUGAAAUAUUAGAUUAUGGUGGAUGUCCAUAACUCCUAUAACACCUACUACUUGUAUCCAUUAUCUCCAUAACUCCCACUACUCUAAUACUUAUGGUUGUAACUCCCACACCUCCAUGAUCUCCCCCGUGAUCUUCCUCCAUGAUCUCAAAAGCUUAAUGACAUAUUUAUGGAAUUCUUUUAGUAUACCUCUAUGUAGUACUAUAAAUAGAGGAUGAGAAUCCAUGAUCUCAAAAGCUUAAUGACAUAUUUAUGGAAUUCUUUUAGUAUACCUUUAUGUAGUACUAUAAAUAGAGGAUGAGAAAUCAUCUUGUAAUAGACUUGGAUACAUGGAAGAAAUAUAUUCUCUUCUCUAUUUCUCUCUACUUUGUUGUCUAUCUUUUGUUUAUUACUUUGAGCUA
RNAcentral lists this long non-coding RNA (437 nucleotides) under Nicotiana benthamiana. Its description in RNAcentral is "long non-coding RNA (NBEN_LNC023299)". Lineage: Eukaryota; Viridiplantae; Streptophyta; Magnoliopsida; Solanales; Solanaceae. The record is from RNAcentral.